Molecule: non-coding RNA, 204 nt
Organism: Oryza glumipatula
Lineage: Eukaryota; Viridiplantae; Streptophyta; Magnoliopsida; Poales; Poaceae
Source: Rfam
AAUAAGCACGGCCAUUAGUUUUCGUUUCCAACUUUAAUUGUCAAUCUUAUUUGAAUUUUUUUAUGAUUAGUAUUUUUAUUGUUAUUAGAUUAUAAAAUAUGAAUGAUACUUUAUGUUUGACUUAUUUUUUUAGUUUGUUUUUUGAAAAUUUAAAAUAAGACGAACGAUUAAAGUUGGACACGGAAACUCAUGACUACGCUUAUU